Molecule: ribosomal RNA, 788 nt
Filed under: uncultured bacterium
Lineage: Bacteria
Description: bacterial SSU rRNA
Rfam family: Bacterial small subunit ribosomal RNA
Source: RNAcentral
AGAGUUUGAUCAUGGCUCAGGAUGAACGCUAGCGGCAGGCCUAAUACAUGCAAGUCGAACGGUAGUUCCGAUUUAUCGGAAUGAGAGUGGCGCACGGGUGCGUAACGCGUAUGCAACCUACCCUAUACAGGGGGAUAGCCCGGAGAAAUCUGGAUUAAUACCCCAUGGUACCAAGUUGAGGCAUUUUGAUUUGGUUAAAGAUUCAUCGGUAUAGGAUGGGCAUGCGUCUGAUUAGCUAGUUGGCGGUGUAACGGACCACCAAGGCGACGAUCAGUAGGGGUUCUGAGAGGAAGGUCCCCCACACUGGCACUGAGAUACGGGCCAGACUCCUACGGGAGGCAGCAGUAGGGAAUAUUGGGCAAUGGACGAGAGUCUGACCCAGCCAUGCCGCGUGCAAGAAGACGGCGUUCUGCGUUGUAAACUGCUUUUAUCUGGGAAGAAAAGGCCCAUGCGUGGGACAUUGCCGGUACCAGAUGAAUAAGCACCGGCUAACUCCGUGCCAGCAGCCGCGGUAAUACGGAGGGUGCAAGCGUUGUCCGGAUUUAUUGGGUUUAAAGGGUGCGUAGGCGGCUAUUUAAGUCAGUGGUGAAAGACUCCGGCUCAACCGGGGCAGUGCCAUUGAUACUGGAUAGCUUGAGUAUUGGAGGGGUACAUGGAAUUGAUGGUGUAGCGGUGAAAUGCAUAGAUACCAUCAGGAACACCGAUAGCGAAGGCAUUGUACUGGCCAAUAACUGACGCUGAUGCACGAAAGCAUGGGGAGCGAACAGGAUUAGAUACCCUAGUAGUCC